Felis catus (domestic cat) is the source of this 1965-nucleotide long non-coding RNA. RefSeq lists it as uncharacterized. NCBI's taxonomy places the organism in Eukaryota, Metazoa, Chordata, Mammalia, Carnivora, Felidae. The transcript has 2 exons. The record is from RefSeq and is a predicted model, not a curated record.
CCAGUGCUACUAAAAUUACAAUAAAAGGAUAAGUCCACCAGGACGAAGAGAAUUCGAGAGGCUACCUAAUGAUAAUUGACCUCGCACAUCUGAGGAAGCUGGUUGCUAAGCUAGUAGUGGGGAAAGCCAAGAAGAACCUAAUUCUACUACAGAAUUUCUAAACCCUCGGGACUGGGCACCAGGUAUCUGUGGAUACAGAAAGCGAGGUUCCAAACGGGAAGAUUGGUUGAAAGUCUACCUAAGAAGGAAUUUGUUUCAAUUCCUUCCCCAGAUCUGCACAGAAGUCUGAGGAGACUGAGAGAUGCCAUGAUAGAAGAAGAGGCAGGAGAGAUUAGAAGUAUGAGAAGGACUCCAUUCACUGUUGCUGGCUUUGAAGAUGGAGGAAAGGAGUCAUGAACCAAGACAUGUGGGUAGCAUCUAGAAGCUAGAAAAGCCCUUAACUGAGAGCCAUCAAGAAAAUGCAGACCUACAUUCACAGACCAACUACAAAAUGCAAUUCUACAAUCACAUGAAACUGAACUCUGCCAACAACCUGAAUAGGCAAAGAAAAAUUCUUCCCAAGAACCCCCAGAAAGGAACGUAGCCCUCCAGAUACCUUGACUUUAGUUCGGUAAGACUCACAUUAGACUUCUGAUCCUUAUAACUGUAAAAUGAUACAUUUAUGUUAAGUCACUCCAUGGAAUAUAAAGUGAAGCGAAUUUCCUAGAAAGCAGAACAAAAAACAAACAGCUGGAAAACAGAGGAGAAAAUGUAAGGAAAUUAGAAGUCUAAUCCCAGCAAUCCAAUAUCAAAAAAAAAAAAAAAAAAAAAAAAGCUCAAGAAAGAGAAGGAGGAAACAGAAAGAAAUCACCAGGAAAUAAUUCAAGAAAUUUCUCCAAGUGGAAUGACAUAAUUUUCAGAUUUGAAGGGCUCACUGAGGGCCCAGAACACAACACAUACUUAUUAAAUACAGAACACUGAUGACAAAGAUCCUAUAAUUCCCAGAGAUGAAAAAUAUUUGAUCACUUUCAAAGUAAAAGGAAAAAGAAUGAUUUUGACUUUUAAACAAGACUAGUGGACAACAAAGGCUUACCCUUAAUUUACUGGAGACUCAUUGCUUCUGUGAACAAUCAGAGCAAUGUUUCCAAUGAUGGGAAUUGUACAAAUAAAAAAGACUGUAAGAAACAUAUCACCAAUUCUGGCAAAAGUUAUUAAUAACACCACCUCUGCCCUUGAUGGAUACGGAUCAGUCACAACUCUUUGACACAAGUAGAGAGAGACAAUAGCAUGCCUCUAGAUUUCCUGUUGUCUAGACAUGGGGCCAUUUGUAUUAUCACUAAUACUGCUUGCUGCACUUGGGCCAAUAAAGCAGGUAAAAUAAAAAGACUAAGCAUCCUUUGUAGGAAAAAAGCUACUUGACUUUCUAAGGUUGAUCCUCAAGGCCUAUGGGAUUUGUUCUCUUGUCCUGGGGUGGGCAAUUGGAGUUAUUGGUGUUGAAGUAUCUUACAGGCAACAGUAAUUGUUCUUGUUGUUGUCAGGGUAGUUGUGAUAUUAGUCCACCUUAUUUUCUCCUGUUUUAAAUGCAUCUUCUCAAUCACUCUCUUGCCAGAUGAUCUCUCAAUACACUUGGCUAUGGAGACAACUGGGCAGUUCUCUCUUGGAGAUUGGGUAAAGAUCUGGAUCUCAAGCAUAUCCUGAGUUGGUUAACUUCUCGAUAGUGAGAGAAUGACCAAAAGACAGGCCUGAGAGACUGAGUAUAGAAAUGGACAAUGGUCGGAUUACAUAUGACAACAGAACUCUGAACCACAACCAGUUCAAGAAGCCAAAUCAUUGCAAAUCACAAAUCUCUGCAGCAAACAGCACAAGAACAGUCAGGACUUGGUCAAUGACUGCCAGCUUCCCUAUUUUUUGUCCCUGUUUCUAAAAACCAGAGAAAGCCAAAUAUGCUGAGUGUAUCAAUCAUGUGACUAAAAUCUUUCACUAAAA